CUACCUUUAGAUGAAUAAAGCACAGCAUUCGAAUGGCAUUGCUAGUGGACUAUGGUCGCGUUUUUCAGCAUCUCUCCUGUAGCGGUCUUCUCUUUUCUUUAGGAAGGUGCCAUCUCUGAAAAAUGGAAACAUUUUGAUUUUACAUUGACAUUUUGACAUUGUCAUAUAUUUUUUUCUUGUCACGAAUAAAAUUUAUUACCGGUCUUAGCAUCAAAACCUUGCGUAACCUCAAGGAUGACACAUUGCCGUAAUUUCCAUGGCGUUUAAGGUCAUCCGCAAUGUUUUCUUUAUUACGGCCUUCAAGUCUACAAGGGAAUAAAAAAAUCCGUCACGCCGUGGAUAAACGGGCCUUGAACUGAAUACCUGAUAGUUAAGAGGAACAAUUGCCCACUGCUGUAACGGAGGUCGCCAUUAUGCCAGGAAUGCUCCAUGCAUCACGUUCAUGGCAUAUUUCUCUUUUGGCAUGCCAAAAAUUUUUUGGGUGGGUUUCUUUGGUGAUCACUGUCCCCUGUUUUCAACUGAAACAUUUUCAAGGAUUUCCGCAAAAUGUGUCCAUAUACCAAACGAGGCUUUACAGGAACAAGCUGCAACGAUAAACGUCUGUUUCCUAAAAGAAAAAAAAAAAAAUCAAAAGUAAUUUGACGGUUAAACUGGGUAUGAUGUCGACGCAAAAAAAAUUGAAAAAAAGUAACUAAUUGCGGAACUUGAUGUCAUUUCAAAAGCCAAUAACAUUUUGUAACGUAUUGACAACAUGGUAAUAACAUACGUCCAAUGCUGUUUACGUAAGUAGACCAUAACUAAAUAUCUGAUUACAGCUGAAGCGCGAUCCCAAAUCUGAUGACUAAUCCUUUUUAACUAUUAAAUAAAGAAGCCGAAGGACGCAAAUUAUAUACAUAUUAAUCAUGGGGUAACCAAAAUCGUUUCACGUCCACACU
Long non-coding RNA from Daphnia carinata, 935 nucleotides. RefSeq lists it as uncharacterized. The record is from RefSeq and is a predicted model, not a curated record. NCBI's taxonomy places the organism in Eukaryota, Metazoa, Arthropoda, Branchiopoda, Diplostraca, Daphniidae. The transcript has 3 exons.